CUUUCGGGACAGAGAGAGCGGCGUACGGGUGCGGAACACGUGUGCAACCUACCUUUAUCAGGGGGAUAGCCUUUCGAAAGGAAGAUUAAUACCCCAUAAUAUAUUGAUUGGCAUCAGUUAAUAUUGAAAACUCCGGUGGAUAGAGAUGGGCACGCGCAAGAUUAGAUAGUUGGUAGGGUAACGGCCUACCAAGUCAGUGAUCUUUAGGGGGCCUGAGAGGGUGAUCCCCCACACUGGUACUGAGACACGGACCAGACUCCUACGGGAGGCAGCAGUGAGGAAUAUUGGACAAUGGGUGAGAGCCUGAUCCAGCCAUCCCGCGUGAAGGACGACGGCCCUAUGGGUUGUAAACUUCUUUUGUAUAGGGAUAAACCUACUCUCGUGAGAGUAGCUGAAGGUACUAUACGAAUAAGCACCGGCUAACUCCGUGCCAGCAGCCGCGGUAAUACGGAGGGUGCAAGCGUUAUCCGGAUUUAUUGGGUUUAAAGGGUCCGUAGGCGGAUCUGUAAGUCAGUGGUGAAAUCUCAUAGCUUAACUAUGAAACUGCCAUUGAUACUGCAGGUCUUGAGUAAAGUAGAAGUGGCUGGAAUAAGUAGUGUAGCGGUGAAAUGCAUAGAUAUUACUUAGAACACCAAUUGCGAAGGCAGGUCACUAUGUUUUAACUGACGCUGAUGGACGAAAGCGUGGGGAGCGAAC
RNAcentral lists this ribosomal RNA (696 nucleotides) under Chryseobacterium piscium. RNAcentral's name for it is "bacterial SSU rRNA". It matches the Rfam family "Bacterial small subunit ribosomal RNA", at positions 78 to 773 of the family's 1533-position model. The record is from RNAcentral. Lineage: Bacteria; Pseudomonadati; Bacteroidota; Flavobacteriia; Flavobacteriales; Weeksellaceae.